Molecule: ribosomal RNA, 466 nt
Filed under: uncultured bacterium
Lineage: Bacteria
Description: bacterial SSU rRNA
Rfam family: Bacterial small subunit ribosomal RNA
Source: RNAcentral
CCUACGGGGUGCAGCAGUGGGGAAUUUUCCACAAUGGGCGAAAGGCUGACCCAGCGACGCCGCGUGUGGGAGGAAGCCCUUCGGGGUGUAAACCACUGUCAGGAGGGACGAACGAGGGGGGAGGGAAUACUUCUCCUCUGUGACGGUACCUCCAAAGGAAGCGCCGGCUAACUCUGUGCCAGCAGCCGCGGUAAGACAGAGGGCGCGAGCGUUGUUCGGAAUCACUGGGCGUAAAGCGCGCGCAGGCGGAUCUGUGCGUCUGGAGUGAAAUCCCGCCGCUCAACGGCGGGGCUGCUUUGGAAACGGCAGGUCUGGGGACCGGUAGAGGUCGGUAGAAUUCCCGGUGUAGCGGUGGAAUGCGUAGAGAUCGGGAAGAAUACCCGUGGCGAAGGCGGCCGACUGGGCCGGAUCCGACGCUGAGGCGCGAAAGCGUGGGGAGCAAACAGGAUUAGAUACCCGAGUAGUC